UGGAGCAGCAAACCAUGUAGACAGAAGAAAAGCUAAAGGACUACAUGUUGAAGUAGUAAUAGUUACUGCAGUACUGCACACACUGCAUCUGAUUUGACUUGUUGUAUGGUAAAUUGCCCGUCCACGCAGGAAGCAUAGCUGAUGAACUCAUGGAAGAAAUAAAGAAGGAAGUUGAAGAAUAAUGCUGCUCCAAAGUAUUCAUAUAUGGUUCCAACUUUGUAAAAAUGGGGCAUGCUUGUUUUAUGUUAUACAAGAGAAACCUGAGAAUAUGGUAUUAUUUGUUUGUAUA
Molecule: long non-coding RNA, 289 nt
Organism: Zea mays
Lineage: Eukaryota; Viridiplantae; Streptophyta; Magnoliopsida; Poales; Poaceae
Exons: 3
Source: RefSeq, a predicted model, not a curated record